AAAAAAGUAUCAAAUUCCAUCUACCUCCUGCUCCAUUGGAGUCAUUUAGGAAAAGCCUUUUGAAUUCUAAUCUAACCAGUCACAAUUCACAGGCAGUGGAUUGCUAGAAAGCAAAGAAUUGAUUUCUUGCAGAUGCAAUUCUCAUCAAGAUUGAUUUUCUUUCCUUGUGGGCAAAAAAACAAACAGGAACUGAACAAGAGCUACCAAAAUUAAAUACGCCAUAGCUAAAGCAAGAAGCUAGAUCUUGUACUCAAACCAUAGAGUUAGCAUCCGGCAAACCUUGGUGGAGAUCAACGGAGGAAGCCGCCGUCGCCGUCCCAUUAUUAGGACGCUUGGCAGGUACAGAAGCUCGACAAACAGGACAAUUAGAAUGAGAAUUCAGCCACAAAUUGAUACAAGAAGCAUGAAAGCUAUGCUUGCACACACUCAAUUGCUUCACUUCUUCC
RNAcentral lists this unclassified non-coding RNA (446 nucleotides) under Hevea brasiliensis (rubber tree). Lineage: Eukaryota; Viridiplantae; Streptophyta; Magnoliopsida; Malpighiales; Euphorbiaceae. The record is from RNAcentral.